Molecule: ribosomal RNA, 500 nt
Filed under: uncultured bacterium
Lineage: Bacteria
Description: partial 16S ribosomal RNA
Rfam family: Bacterial small subunit ribosomal RNA
Source: RNAcentral
AUUGAACGCUGGCGGCAUGCCUUACACAUGCAAGUCGAACGGCAGCGCGGGAGCAAUCCUGGCGGCGAGUGGCGAACGGGUGAGUAAUAUAACGGAACGUGCCCAGUAGCGGGGGAUAACGCAGCGAAAGCUGUGCUAAUACCGCAUACGCACUACGGUGGAAAGAGGGGGAUCGCAAGACCUCUCACUAGUGGAGCGGCCGAUAUCAGAUUAGCUUGUUGGCGGGGUAAAAGCCCACCAAGGCGACGAUCUGUAGCGGGUUUGAGAGAACGACCAGCCACACUGGGACUGAGACACGGCCCAGACUCCUACGGGAGGCAGCAGUGGGGAAUUUUGGACAAUGGGCGCAAGCCUGAUCCAGCCAUGCCGCGUGCGGGAAGAAGGCCUUCGGGUUGUAAACCGCUUUUGUUCGGGAAGAAAUUGACUGGGCUAAUACCCUGGUCGGAUGACGGUACCGGAAGAAUAAGCACCGGCUAACUACGUGCCAGCCGCCGCCGUAA